UGACAGUCGAGCGGUAACAAAUCUAGCUUGCUAGAUGCUGACGAGCGGCGGACGGGUGAGUAAUGCAUAGGAAUCUGCCCGGUAGUGGGGGAUAACCUGGGGAAACCCAGGCUAAUACCGCAUACGUCCUACGGGAGAAAGGGGGCUUCUGCUCCCGCUAUUGGAUGAACCUAUGUCGGAUUAACUAGUUGGUGAGGUGAGGGCUCACCAACGCAGCGAUCCAUAGGUGGUCGGAGAGGAUGAUUAGCCACAUCCGGACUGACACACGGCCCGAACUCCUACGGGAGGCAGCAGUGGGGAAUAUUGUAAUAAUGGGGGCAACCAUGAUCCAUCCAUGCCGCGUGUGUGAAGAAGGAACUCGGGUUGGAUAGCACUUUCUUCGAGGAAGAAAGCCAAGUGGUUAAUACCCAUUAGGAAAGACAUCACUCGCAGAAGAAACACCGGCUAACUCCGUGCCAGCAGCCGCGGUAAUACGGAGGGUGCAAUCGUUAAUCGGAAUUACUGUACGUAAAGCACGCAUACGUGGCUUGAUUAGCCGGUUGUGAAAGCACCACUCCCAACUU
Molecule: ribosomal RNA, 563 nt
Filed under: Halomonas sp. LAMA 796
Lineage: Bacteria; Pseudomonadati; Pseudomonadota; Gammaproteobacteria; Oceanospirillales; Halomonadaceae
Description: bacterial SSU rRNA
Rfam family: Bacterial small subunit ribosomal RNA
Source: RNAcentral